GCCGCAAGCGUGUUACACGUCAGAAAUGGACACCAAAGAUUCCGACACUCGAAAAAAAGGACGCCAGAAGUGGAACAGAAGAGAUUUCUCUGAAAGCGAUGACGACACGUGCAGUUCAGAGAGUUCACCCAGUUGGGGUACGGAAAGUGCUACAGAAGGGAGUCGGCCGACAGCCUUACGAAGCAGCCCUUCACAACACAUGCGAGGUACGGAAAGCGCUGGAGAAGGGAGUCUGCCGACAGCCUUGCGAAGCAAUUCGUCACAACACAUUUAAAAUACGCGGAGGCCAUUAUAAUACCUAUCUCGAAAUACGCAAGGAUCCGUCUUCUGGUCGAGCUACCGCCCUAUAGGCACCGGGCGGCCGUCGUAAGGCGCCAGCUGCGCUCCCCAGGAAAAGCGCCCCAAGCGGCGGCAGCGAACAGCACUGGCAUGUGAUACAGACGACGCCGAGAAGGAUCUGCUACUUCGGCCCGUAUCCGAAGAGAAGCGGCGGCGUUUCUUUUUGAGCGUUUGUCGCCGAAAGGCAAAAAGAAGCGGCAGCAAGUGUUUUUUUGAACAAUUCACGAAUGGUUCUAC
Molecule: long non-coding RNA, 576 nt
Organism: Rhipicephalus sanguineus (brown dog tick)
Lineage: Eukaryota; Metazoa; Arthropoda; Arachnida; Ixodida; Ixodidae
Exons: 3
Source: RefSeq, a predicted model, not a curated record